GAUGAAGAACGUAGCGAAAUGCGAUACUUGGUGUGAAUUGCAGAAUCCCGCGAAUCAUCGAGUUUUUGAACGCAAGUUGCGCCCGAAGCCAUUCGGCCGAGGGCACGUCUGCCUGGGUGUCACGCAUCGUUGCCCCCCCAAACUCCGGUUCGGGCGGGGCGGAAGUUGGCCUCCCGUGCGUGCCUGCGCGCGCGGUUAGCCCAAAAGCGAGUCCUCGGCGACGAGCGCCACGACAAUCGGUGGUUUUUUUACCCUCGUUCCUCGUCGUGCGUGCCCCGUCGCCCGAACGCGCUCUUGCGACCCUUACGCGUCGCCUCGGCGGCGCUCCCAACGCGACCCCAGGUCAGGCGGGACUACCCGCUGAGUUUAAGCAUAUCAAAAGCGGAGGA
This 389-nucleotide unclassified non-coding RNA is filed under the name soil metagenome. RNAcentral's name for it is "partial contains 5.8S ribosomal RNA, internal transcribed spacer 2, and large subunit ribosomal RNA". The stretch from base 1 to 122 matches the Rfam family "5.8S ribosomal RNA", at positions 35 to 154 of the family's 154-position model. The record is from RNAcentral.